GCCUUUCGGAGUGGUACACUCCAACCCUUGCGAACCGUACCCAAUCUCGUUCUCGUUGCUUCUGGCGGGGGGGGACGGGGGGGCGCCCGAGACGGCCCCCUCCG
Molecule: ribosomal RNA, 104 nt
Filed under: Sporothrix sp. HMY-2013
Lineage: Eukaryota; Fungi; Ascomycota; Sordariomycetes; Ophiostomatales; Ophiostomataceae
Description: partial 18S ribosomal RNA
Source: RNAcentral